CAGUCGCCGCGGUAAUACGGAGGGUGCAAGCGUUAAUCGGAAUUACUGGGCGUAAAGCGCGCGUAGGCGGUUCGUUAAGUCUGUUGUGAAAGCCCCGGGCUCAACCUGGGAAUGGCAAUGGAUACUGGCGAGCUAGAGUGUGUCAGAGGAUGGUGGAAUUCCCGGUGUAGCGGUGAAAUGCGUAGAGAUCGGGAGGAACAUCAGUGGCGAAGGCGGCUCACUGGCUCAUACUGGACGCUGAGGUGCGAAAGCGUGGGGAGCAAACAGGAUUAGAUACCCGCGUAGUCCCUGUCUCUUAUAC
Molecule: ribosomal RNA, 301 nt
Filed under: uncultured bacterium
Lineage: Bacteria
Description: partial 16S ribosomal RNA
Rfam family: Bacterial small subunit ribosomal RNA
Source: RNAcentral